GGGGAGUUUCUAGAGUGGUCAAAUAGGACAGACUGUAAAUCUGUUGGCUUUCGCCUUCUGAGGUUCGAAUCCUCAACUCCCCA
This 83-nucleotide transfer RNA is filed under the name Treponema sp. RNAcentral describes it as "tRNA-Tyr(gta)". It matches the Rfam family "tRNA". Rfam says of the family: Transfer RNA (tRNA) molecules are approximately 80 nucleotides in length. Their secondary structure includes four short double-helical elements and three loops (D, anti-codon, and T loops). Lineage: Bacteria; Pseudomonadati; Spirochaetota; Spirochaetia; Treponematales; Treponemataceae. RNAcentral also lists the same sequence under 1 other name. The record is from RNAcentral.